GAUGAAGAACGUAGCGAAAUGCGAUAAGUAGUGUGAAUUGCAGAAUUCAGUGAAUCAUCGAAUCUUUGAACGCACAUUGCGCCCCAUGGUAUUCCGUGGGGCAUGCCUGUUCGAGCGUCAUUUACCCCCUCAAGCUCCGCUUGGUGUUGGGCGUCUGUCCCGCUUCGCGCGCGGACUCGCCCCAAAGGUAUUGGCAGCGGUCGUGCCAGCUUCUCGCGCAGCACAUUGCGCUUCUCGAGGCACCGGUGGCCCCGCGUCCAUCAAGCUCACCCCCCCAGUUUGACCUCGGAUCAGGUAGGGAUACCCGCUGAACUUAAGCAUAUCAAUAAGCGGAGGA
This 337-nucleotide unclassified non-coding RNA is filed under the name soil metagenome. RNAcentral's name for it is "partial contains 5.8S ribosomal RNA, internal transcribed spacer 2, and large subunit ribosomal RNA". The stretch from base 1 to 120 matches the Rfam family "5.8S ribosomal RNA", at positions 35 to 154 of the family's 154-position model. The record is from RNAcentral.